Molecule: ribosomal RNA, 253 nt
Filed under: uncultured bacterium
Lineage: Bacteria
Description: partial 16S ribosomal RNA
Rfam family: Bacterial small subunit ribosomal RNA
Source: RNAcentral
UACAGAGGGAGCGAGCGUUGUUCGGAUUUACUGGGCGUAAAGAGCGCGCAGGCGGGUAGGUAAGUCGGAUGUGAAAUUUGUGGGCUCAACCGACAAUCUGCAUCCGAAACUGCUUGCCUUGAGUACAGGAGAGGAGAGUGGAAUCGGUAGUGUAGCGGUGAAAUGCGUAGAUAUUACCGAGAACACCAGUGGCGAAGGCGGCUCUCUGGCCUGAUACUGACGCUGAGGCGCGAAAGCUAGGGGAGCAAACAGG